RNAcentral lists this ribosomal RNA (330 nucleotides) under uncultured bacterium. Its description in RNAcentral is "bacterial SSU rRNA". It matches the Rfam family "Bacterial small subunit ribosomal RNA", at positions 568 to 898 of the family's 1533-position model. The record is from RNAcentral.
CGCGUAGGUGGUAGUGCAAGUCUGAGGUGGAAUCCUAUGGCUUAACCAUAGAACUGCCUUGGAAACUGCAUUACUUGAGUCAGUGAGGGGAGGGUAGAAUUCCUGGUGUAGCGGUGAAAUGCGUAGAUAUCAGGAGGAAGGCCGGUGGCGAAGGCGGCCCUCUGGCGCUGAACUGACACUGAGGCGCGAAAGCGUGGGGAGCAAACAGGAUUAGAUACCCUGGUAGUCCACGCCCUAAACGGUGGGCACUAGGUGUAGGGCUCGUAAGGGUUCUGUGCCGAAGCGAAAGCAUUAAGUGCCCCGCCUGGGGAGUACGGCCGCAAGGUUGAA